RNAcentral lists this ribosomal RNA (932 nucleotides) under Agaricus bisporus (cultivated mushroom). RNAcentral describes it as "LSU rRNA". It matches the Rfam family "Eukaryotic large subunit ribosomal RNA", at positions 41 to 956 of the family's 3401-position model. The record is from RNAcentral. Lineage: Eukaryota; Fungi; Basidiomycota; Agaricomycetes; Agaricales; Agaricaceae.
UAUCAAUAAGCGGAGGAAAAGAAACUAACAAGGAUUCCCCUAGUAACUGCGAGUGAAGCGGGAAAAGCUCAAAUUUAAAAUCUGGCGGUCUUUGGCCGUCCGAGUUGUAAUCUAGAGAAGUAAUGCCCGUGCUGGACCGUGUAUAAGUCUCCUGGGAUGGGGCGUCAUAGAGGGUGAGAAUCCCGUCUUUGACACGGACUACCAGUGCAUUGUGGUAUGCUCUCAAAGAGUCGAGUUGUUUGGGAAUGCAGCUCAAAAUGGGUGGUAAAUUCCAUCUAAAGCUAAAUAUUGGCGAGAGACCGAUAGCGAACAAGUACCGUGAGGGAAAGAUGAAAAGAACUUUGGAAAGAGAGUUAAACAGUACGUGAAAUUGCUGAAAGGGAAACGCUUGAAGUCAGUCGCGUUGGCCAGGGAUCAGCCUUGCUUUUGCAUGGUGUACUUUCUGGUUGACGGGUCAGCAUCAAUUUUGACCGCUGGAAAAGGGCCUGGGGAAAUGUGGCAGCUUCGGCUGUGUUAUAGCCCCUGGUCGCAUACAGUGGUUGGGAUUGAGGAACUCAGCACGCCGCAAGGCCGGGUUUCGACCACGUUCGUGCUUAGGAUGCUGGCAUAAUGGCUUUAAGCGACCCGUCUUGAAACACGGACCAAGGAGUCUAACAUGCCUGCGAGUAUUUGGGGUGGAAAAACCCGAGUGCGCAAUGAAAGUGAAAGUUGAGAUCCCUGUCGUGGGGAGCAUCGACGCCCGGACCAGAACUUUUGGGACGGAUCCGCGGUGGAGCAUGUAUGUUGGGACCCGAAAGAUGGUGAACUAUGCCUGAAUAGGGUGAAGCCAGAGGAAACUCUGGUGGAGGCUCGUAGCGAUUCUGACGUGCAAAUCGAUCGUCAAAUUUGGGUAUAGGGGGCGAAAGACUAAUCGAACCAUCUAGUAGCUGGUC